This is a long non-coding RNA of Pipistrellus kuhlii (Kuhl's pipistrelle), 182 nucleotides long. RefSeq lists it as uncharacterized. Lineage: Eukaryota; Metazoa; Chordata; Mammalia; Chiroptera; Vespertilionidae. The record is from RefSeq and is a predicted model, not a curated record. The transcript is spliced from 3 exons.
UAUCCAAAAUAUAAAAAGCUUUCCACAGCUACUGGUCUGCAGCUGUUCUCCUGGUGGCAGUUGUGGCAUUCCUCUGUGGGAAAGAAAUUGUUACAUGAUCAAACACCACUUUCUUAGCAAAAUAGAAAGUGGGCAUAUGUGUGACAAACAUGAGAUUGGUAGAGCGUCGUGGAGGGAAAGAG